AGACUUGAUAAUUGCGAAUCAGGAAAACAUUUUGGAUUAGCUAGGUUACAAUAGUUACGAUCAAGAACGAUUCAACCGAAGGUUUCAAAAUCGAUACGAGAAAAACAGCAAAUUGCUGCAUCUGGACCGCCACCACGUCCGCCGAAAGAAAUGUGGCCUACAGCUCCAGCUUCAGGCAAUCAUCAUCAUUUCGGGAACAGAUUCUAGCCUCUUCACAAUGUUCCAUGCAAAGGAUAUUCUGCUUUCUGCAAGACCCAGAGUGGUAAGGAAGCAAACUGCACUGUCCCAUACAGAGUAAUCGACAAUCCUGCCAAAUUGCCUGCCACACGUGUUGUGAGAGUUUUCGUCUGGGGACCAGCUAGGCAAUUUAAAGGAUGGCCACGGAAUGGUAGUCGGGUUAAAAUAUUUUCGAAAAUUGUGCAUUUUACUUGCGAGGAAAUGGAGGAAAUUAAAUUGGAUACGAAUGUUGCACACUGGUCUGUAAACGUAUUGAAUUUAUCACGGACUGAACGACAUUUGGAUCGAGCAGUGUUAAUUACAUUUUCGCAAAGCCUGGACAUUGCAAAAAGUAAAAACUAACUUCGAUUCUGAUUUUAUCAAUACAUUGUAUACAUUCAAUCGCCCAAUUUUAGAUAGUUUGUUUAGAUAGUUGAAGUGAAUAUAAUUAGAGAACUAUAUUUGUACAGUCUUUUUCAUUAAGAAUUACUACUACUAAAAAUUCUACAAGAUCUACAAUGAUACAUUUUGCUGAUAAAAUUAAGCAUUUAUUUCAUUUGAUACACAGUAUUGAAAUGUCGAUUAUCCAUUGCCUGAAGACAGAUAGGGCACUUAUUAUUUAUUGAUAAUGUGCGCAAUAGACACUGACGGCAAAAUAAAUGCCCACAAACGGUUGCCACUGGAUCUGAGAAUUUCGUUUCCAAACAAAUCGGACACCCAUUCCCCAUGUAUAUGUACUGCAACUCAGCUAUCGAUUGAGCCCGUCCACAAGGACAUUUUUUGCACUUCAGUAUGUGGGGCCAUAUGCAGUUUUUACAGAAAACGUGUCCACAAACCGUUAGCUCCAUUCUGCAGGCCGUUUGGCCACAUAUUGUGCACUUUUUGACUCCAGAUUCUGAUGAAUUCAUUUUUAAGAUUACAAUAAAAUGAAAUAAGAUCAAUGGAAUUUAUGAACAUUUGAAUUUCAAAGCACCCUGAGAUAGAAAAAAUCAUACACCAGAAAGACAUGAAACUAGUAGUGAACGCCAAGCAUGAAAUUCAAAAUCUUUAUUUUUAUCUAUUUAUUUAUUUAUUAGAGUUAGAAAACUUAAUUCUAAAUUCAAGUAACCAACAUCUCAUAUCCUCAAACAUGCCAAUAAUAACCGGAACUAAAUAAAAUUACCAUUUGAUUCUUAAAAUUUAUUUGUAAGGAGUGGGAAAAAAUACUGCUCACAAGACGAAGCCAGUAAAAACGAUCUUUUCAAAAACAUUUUCCAUAUAACGAAAUUCAUUCACCCUGUUUCUUCGUUGCUAAAAUGCAUACUGCAUCGCGUCUUUGAAUUGCAAUUGUUGAUAAUUUCUGCAACAAAUAGUCCGUGGAACGUGAUUCACCACUCGUACAGAAGUAAAUUUUAGCUUAGAAAC
Long non-coding RNA from Bradysia coprophila, 1620 nucleotides. RefSeq lists it as uncharacterized. Lineage: Eukaryota; Metazoa; Arthropoda; Insecta; Diptera; Sciaridae. The record is from RefSeq and is a predicted model, not a curated record.